Molecule: small nuclear RNA, 251 nt
Filed under: Heterocephalus glaber (naked mole-rat)
Lineage: Eukaryota; Metazoa; Chordata; Mammalia; Rodentia; Bathyergidae
Description: 7SK RNA
Rfam family: 7SK RNA
About the family: 7SK was discovered as an abundant small nuclear RNA in the mid-70s but a possible function has only recently been suggested. Two independent studies have found that 7SK RNA binds the CDK9/cyclin T complex (known as elongation factor P-TEFb).
Source: Rfam by way of RNAcentral
GGGCCAUCUGGCUGGGACACCUGUCACCUUAUUGAUCCCCAGAUUUGAUGGGGCUGAACUCCAGCUGGCUGCGCUGCUGUCCUCUUCCCCCUUCACUGCUCCACGUGUGUCCCCGCCAAGCUUCCUACUCUGACAAACAGGAUGACCUUUCCCCAUAGAGGAGGUGGUUCUUUGGUCAAGGGCACAGGAAAACAGGCACAUAGGAAAACUGUUUUUAAAUCCUCAUAGGUCUAAAAAUAUCUUCCUUCUUU